AGAGUUUGAUCAUGGCUCAGGAUGAACGCUAGCUACAGGCUUAACACAUGCAAGUCGAGGGGAAGACGACAUACGAAAGCUUGUCUUUUGAUGGGCGUCGACCGGCGCGACGGGUGAGUAACGCGUAUCCAACCUCGCCCACCACUUGGGGAUAACCUUGCGAAAGUAAGACUAAUACCCAAUGAUAUCUCUAGAAGACAUCUGAAAGAGAUUAAAGAUUUAUCGGUGAUGGAUGGGGAUGCGUCUGAUUAGCUUGUUGGCGGGGUAACGGCCCACCAAGGCGACGAUCAGUAGGGGUUCUGAGAGGAAGGUCCCCCACAUUGGAACUGAGACACGGUCCAAACUCCUACGGGAGGCAGCA
RNAcentral lists this ribosomal RNA (361 nucleotides) under uncultured bacterium. Its description in RNAcentral is "bacterial SSU rRNA". It matches the Rfam family "Bacterial small subunit ribosomal RNA", at positions 8 to 353 of the family's 1533-position model. The record is from RNAcentral.